GCGCUUGUAGCCCAACUGGACAGAGCACUUGACUACGGAUCAAGAGGUUGGGGGUUCGAAUCCCUCCAAGCGCG
RNAcentral lists this transfer RNA (74 nucleotides) under Candidatus Magnetoglobus multicellularis str. Araruama. It matches the Rfam family "tRNA". From Rfam's summary of the family: Transfer RNA (tRNA) molecules are approximately 80 nucleotides in length. Their secondary structure includes four short double-helical elements and three loops (D, anti-codon, and T loops). Lineage: Bacteria; Pseudomonadati; Thermodesulfobacteriota; Desulfobacteria; Desulfobacterales; Desulfobacteraceae. The record is from Rfam by way of RNAcentral.